RNAcentral lists this ribosomal RNA (423 nucleotides) under uncultured bacterium. RNAcentral describes it as "bacterial SSU rRNA". It matches the Rfam family "Bacterial small subunit ribosomal RNA", at positions 355 to 775 of the family's 1533-position model. The record is from RNAcentral.
UAGGGAAUAUUGGACAAUGGGCGCAAGCCUGAUCCAGCCAUCCCGCGUGAAGGAUUAAGGCCCUCUGGGUUGUAAACUUCUUUUCUCUGGGAAUAAAAAGUGGGAUUCAUCCUGCCUUGAAGGUACCAGAGGAAUAAGCACCGGCUAACUCCGUGCCAGCAGCCGCGGUAAUACGGAGGGUGCAAGCGUUAUCCGGAUUCACUGGGUUUAAAGGGUGCGUAGGUGGCUUUGUAAGUCAGUGGUGAAAUGCCGCAGCUCAACUGCGGAACUGCCAUUGAUACUGCUUAGCUUGAAUCACGUCGAGGUGGAUGGAAUAUUACAUGUAGCGGUGAAAUGCUUAGAUAUGUAAUAGAACACCGAUUGCGAAGGCAGUUCACUAGGCGUGUAUUGACACUGAGGCACGAAAGCGUGGGGAUCAAACAG